UUGCUAGGCCAAGAGACUGAAGUCCUCCCAUUUUUUCACAGAACAGGUAGAACAUGGACAACAGCAAUUCAAGUUUUCCCCACACUGUCCUGCCAAUAUGCCUCGACCCUCACCUGGGGGGGCCACCUCUGGGGUGAGAGGGGUAGUUCAUCUAUGGCUCAUUCAUUCAGUCCCUGGC
Molecule: small RNA, 178 nt
Filed under: Phascolarctos cinereus (koala)
Lineage: Eukaryota; Metazoa; Chordata; Mammalia; Diprotodontia; Phascolarctidae
Description: TUC338 (ENSPCIG00000009886.2)
Source: RNAcentral